Molecule: ribosomal RNA, 429 nt
Filed under: Chloroflexota bacterium
Lineage: Bacteria; Bacillati; Chloroflexota
Description: Chloroflexi bacterium partial 16S ribosomal RNA
Rfam family: Bacterial small subunit ribosomal RNA
Source: RNAcentral
UGGGGAAUAUUGCACAAUGGGCGCAAGCCUGAUGCAGCCAUGCCGCGUGUGUGAAGAAUGCCUUCGGGUUGUAAAGCACUUUCAGCGGGGAGGAAGGCGGUGAGGUUAAUAACCUCAUCGAUUGACGUUACCCGCAGAAGAAGCACCGGCUAACUCCGUGCCAGCAGCCGCGGUAAUACGGAGGGUGCAAGCGUUAAUCGGAAUUACUGGGCGUAAAGCGCACGCAGGCGGUCUGUCAAGUCGGAUGUGAAAUCCCCGGGCUCAACCUGGGAACUGCAAUAGAGACUGGCAGGGUAGAGUCUUGUAGAGGGGGGUAGAAUUCCAGGUGUAGCGGUGAAAUGCGUAGAGAUAUGGAGGAAUACCGGUGGCGAAGGCGGCCCCCUGGACAAAGACUGACGCUCAGGUGCGAAAGCGUGGGGAGCAAACAGG